This 216-nucleotide long non-coding RNA is filed under the name Ananas comosus (pineapple). RNAcentral describes it as "long non-coding RNA (ACOM_LNC005253)". Lineage: Eukaryota; Viridiplantae; Streptophyta; Magnoliopsida; Poales; Bromeliaceae. The record is from RNAcentral.
GAUAGAGUGAUGGUGCGAGGACUUCGCAUGAGGCCGUGAAUUCGGUGGAUGCUCGUGGAUUCGAGGCGUUGUUGCUGCAAGGAGUUGCGGCAUGAUGGAUUGGAGGAGUUCCAUCGAUCGAGGACCGGCGAAGACGAUCUACAAUGAGGAUUCGGUAAAAGUUGAGUCGUGUAUAUGGUAAAUCACCUUGUACUCAAUUUUUUAGAGUGGAUUGUU